CCUACGGGAGGCAGCAGUGAGGAAUAUUGGUCAAUGGGCGAGAGCCUGAACCAGCCAAGUCGCGUGAGGGAGUACUGCCCUAUGGGUUGUAAACCUCUUUUGUCGGGGAGCAAAAGCCGGACGUGUCCGGCUGUGAGAGUACCCGAAGAAAAAGCAUCGGCUAACUCCGUGCCAGCAGCCGCGGUAAUACGGAGGAUGCGAGCGUUAUCCGGAUUUAUUGGGUUUAAAGGGUGCGCAGGCGGAUUUUUAAGUCAGCGGUAAAAUCGUGGGGCUCAACCCCAUCCAGCCGUUGAAACUGGGGAUCUAGAGUGUGCGGGAGGUAUGCGGAAUGCGUGGUGUAGCGGUGAAAUGCAUAGAUAUCACGCAGAACCCCGAUUGCGAAGGCAGCAUACCGGUGCACAACUGACGCUCAGGCACGAAAGCGUGGGUAUCGAACAGGAUUAGAUACCCGAGUAGUC
RNAcentral lists this ribosomal RNA (458 nucleotides) under uncultured bacterium. RNAcentral describes it as "partial 16S ribosomal RNA". It matches the Rfam family "Bacterial small subunit ribosomal RNA", at positions 338 to 795 of the family's 1533-position model. The record is from RNAcentral.